AACAACCAAUGAAAUAAUUAUAGAACCCCUUAUUCUACAACCCCAAGUAACUGGGCAGCCCCGUGUUCUCACCAUUUAACAUCACACAGGCAAAUGAUUCUCCUGCUGCAACCUUUUUCUUGACGUGCUAUCCCCUCAAUAAGAGAACUCAUGUCCUCUGAAAUGAAAUUUAAUUCUUGACCCAGAUGGCAACGUCCUCAGCACCUCAAUAAGAAAACUCAUGCCCUCGGAAUGAAAUAUACUUCUUCACCCAGAUGGCAAUGUCCUCAGCACAGGCCUGAGCCUGGGGGGUCUUCAGAAGCAUGUCAAGAGUUGCAAAUUCAUGAACUGCAUCCUUGUACUCGAGAACUGGUGCAUCAACAUUCACCUUCCUCAACUCCUCAGAGUAAGCAAUGGCUCGGUCUCUCAUCCAGUCAUGUUCAGCAACAAUUGUCAAUGUUGGAGGCAUGAGCUUUAAAGGAGGUCCCCUGCCUGGGACCAAGGGGUUGGCAGCGGGGUGGUCAAGGCUGAACUCUUCCUCUGGAAGGAAGAGUUUCCAUGCGAGUAUACACAUCUGCUUAUCAUAGAAAUAGGAAUUUGCCAACUUUAUCUCAGAAUGUGUGGGGACACUCCCGAUGAAGAAUGGAUACAUCAAAACCUGUGCUACAACCUUAACUGGGUCCAAUAGCUUGCCUGCCUCUACAGC
Molecule: unclassified non-coding RNA, 685 nt
Filed under: Hevea brasiliensis (rubber tree)
Lineage: Eukaryota; Viridiplantae; Streptophyta; Magnoliopsida; Malpighiales; Euphorbiaceae
Source: RNAcentral